UGCAAGUCGAACGCGUUGGCCCAAUUGAUUGAUGGUGCUUGCAUCUGAUUGAUUUUGGUCGCCAACGAGUGGCGGACGGGUGAGUAACACGUAGGUAACCUGCCCAGAAGCGGGGGACAACAUUUGGAAACAGAUGCUAAUACCGCAUAACAGCGUUGUUCGCAUGAACAACGCUUAAAAGAUGGCUUCUCGCUAUCACUUCUGGAUGGACCUGCGGUGCAUUAGCUUGUUGGUGGGGUAACGGCCUACCAAGGCGAUGAUGCAUAGCCGAGUUGAGAGACUGAUCGGCCACAAUGGGACUGAGACACGGCCCAUACUCCUACGGGAGGCAGCAGUAGGGAAUCUUCCACAAUGGGCGCAAGCCUGAUGGAGCAACACCGCGUGAGUGAAGAAGGGUUUCGGCUCGUAAAGCUCUGUUGUUAAAGAAGAACACGUAUGAGAGUAACUGUUCAUACGUUGACGGUAUUUAACCAGAAAGUCACGGCUAACUACGUGCCAGCAGCCGCGGUAAUACGUAGGUGGCAAGCGUUAUCCGGAUUUAUUGGGCGUAAAGAGAGUGCAGGCGGUUUUCUAAGUCUGAUGUGAAAGCCUUCGGCUUAACCGGAGAAGUGCAUCGGAAACUGGAUAACUUGAGUGCAGAAGAGGGUAGUGGAACUCCAUGUGUAGCGGUGGAAUGCGUAGAUAUAUGGAAGAACACCAGUGGCGAAGGCGGCUACCUGGUCUGCAACUGACGCUGAGACUCGAAAGCAUGGGUAGCGAACAGGAUUAGAUACCCUGGUAGUCCAUGCCGUAAACGAUGAGUGCUAGGUGUUGGAGGGUUUCCGCCCUUCAGUGCCGGAGCUAACGCAUUAAGCACUCCGCCUGGGGAGUACGACCGCAAGGUUGAAACUCAAAGGAAUUGACGGGGGCCCGCACAAGCGGUGGAGCAUGUGGUUUAAUUCGAAGCUACGCGAAGAACCUUACCAGGUCUUGACAUCUUGCGCCAACCCUAGAGAUAGGGCGUUUCCUUCGGGAACGCAAUGACAGGUGGUGCAUGGUCGUCGUCAGCUCGUGUCGUGAGAUGUUGGGUUAAGUCCCGCAACGAGCGCAACCCUUGUUACUAGUUGCCAGCAUUAAGUUGGGCACUCUAGUGAGACUGCCGGUGACAAACCGGAGGAAGGUGGGGACGACGUCAGAUCAUCAUGCCCCUUAUGACCUGGGCUACACACGUGCUACAAUGGACGGUACAACGAGUCGCGAACUCGCGAGGGCAAGCAAAUCUCUUAAAACCGUUCUCAGUUCGGACUGCAGGCUGCAACUCGCCUGCACGAAGUCGGAAUCGCUAGUAAUCGCGGAUCAGCAUGCCGCGGUGAAUACGUUCCCGGGCCUUGUACACACCGCCCGUCACACCAUGAGAGUUUGUAACACCCAAAGUCGGUGGGGUAACCUUUUAGGAGCCAGCC
RNAcentral lists this ribosomal RNA (1442 nucleotides) under Limosilactobacillus fermentum. Its description in RNAcentral is "bacterial SSU rRNA". It matches the Rfam family "Bacterial small subunit ribosomal RNA". Lineage: Bacteria; Bacillati; Bacillota; Bacilli; Lactobacillales; Lactobacillaceae. The record is from RNAcentral.